Molecule: transfer RNA, 71 nt
Filed under: Marmota monax (woodchuck)
Lineage: Eukaryota; Metazoa; Chordata; Mammalia; Rodentia; Sciuridae
Description: tRNA.Ala
Rfam family: tRNA
About the family: Transfer RNA (tRNA) molecules are approximately 80 nucleotides in length.
Source: RNAcentral
GGGGUUGUAGCUCAGUGGUAGAGCUUUUGCCUUGCAGGUGUGAGGUGCUGAGUUUGACUCUCAGCACCACA